CAAGGAAUUUUCCCUAUUGGGCGCAAGCCUGAGGGAGCAACGCCGCGUGCAGGACGACGGCCUUCGGGUUGUAAACUGCUUUUCGGAGGGACGAUAAUGACGGUACCUCCGGAAUAAGCCCCGGCUAACUCUGUGCCAGCAGCCGCGGUAAGACAGAGGGGGCAAGCGUUGUCCGGACUUACUGGGCGUAAAGCGCACGCAGGCGGUCACAGGCGUCGGUGCUGAAAGCGCACCGCUUAACGGUGCAACGCGUGCCGAUACGCUGUGACUGGAGCCAUGCAGAGGUCCGUGGAAUUGCCGGUGUAGUGGUGAAAUGCGUAGAGAUCGGCAGGAACACCCAAGGGGAAGCCAGCGGACUGGGCAUGUGCUGACGCUCAUGUGCGACAGCGUGGGGAGCGAACUG
This 403-nucleotide ribosomal RNA is filed under the name uncultured bacterium. RNAcentral's name for it is "bacterial SSU rRNA". It matches the Rfam family "Bacterial small subunit ribosomal RNA", at positions 355 to 775 of the family's 1533-position model. The record is from RNAcentral.